GAUGAACGCUGGCGGCGUGCCUAAUACAUGCAAGUCGAGCGAACAGACGAGGAGCUUGCUCCUCUGACGUUAGCGGCGGACGGGUGAGUAACACGUGGAUAACCUACCUAUAAGACUGGGAUAACUUCGGGAAACCGGAGCUAAUACCGGAUAAUAUAUUGAACCGCAUGGUUCAAUAGUGAAAGACGGUUUUGCUGUCACUUAUAGAUGGAUCCGCGCCGCAUUAGCUAGUUGGUAAGGUAACGGCUUACCAAGGCAACGAUGCGUAGCCGACCUGAGAGGGUGAUAGGCCACACUGGAACUGAGACACGGUCCAGACUCCUACGGGAGGCAGCAGUAGGGAAUCUUCCGCAAUGGGCGAAAGCCUGACGGAGCAACGCCGCGUGAGUGAUGAAGGUCUUCGGGUCGUAAAACUCUGUUAUUAGGGAAGAACAAAUGUGUAAGUAACUAUGCACGUCUUGACGGUACCUAAUCAGAAAGCCACGGCUAACUACGUG
This 497-nucleotide ribosomal RNA is filed under the name uncultured bacterium. Its description in RNAcentral is "partial 16S ribosomal RNA". It matches the Rfam family "Bacterial small subunit ribosomal RNA", at positions 28 to 507 of the family's 1533-position model. The record is from RNAcentral.